AUUCCAGCUCCAAUAGCGUAUACUAAAGUUGCUGCAGUUAAAAAGCUCGUAGUUGGAUUUCUGGUCGUGGUCGCCGGUCGUGCCCAAACGGGUUCUGUACCUGGCGCCCGCGUCCAUCCUCGGGGAGAGCGUGUCUGGCAUUAAGUUGUCGGGCUCGGGACCCCCGUCAUUUACUGUGAGCAAAAUAGAGUGUUCAAAGCAGGCUUAGGCCAUGAAUACAUUAGCAUGGAAUAAUAAGAUAAGACCUUGGUCUAUUUUGUUGGUUUGCAUUCCAAGGUAAUGAUUAAUAGGGAUAGUUGGGGGUAUUCGUAUUUAAUUGUCAGAGGUGAAAUUCUUGGAUUUAUGAAAGACGAACUUCUGCGAAAGCAUUUACCAAAGAUGUUUUCAUUA
This 390-nucleotide ribosomal RNA is filed under the name Synurales sp. Its description in RNAcentral is "partial small subunit ribosomal RNA". It matches the Rfam family "Eukaryotic small subunit ribosomal RNA", at positions 582 to 975 of the family's 1831-position model. Lineage: Eukaryota; Synurophyceae; Synurales. The record is from RNAcentral.